GAUUAGGAGGAAGAAAAAAAAUCCAGACCAGCAAUUUACAAAUCAGCUCCUCUAGGACAGAAGAUGUACUUAACAAACAAACUUUUUUCAAGACACAGAGACCCAGAUCAGACUUCUUCCAUGGCUGCGCUUGCUGGUCUCCACACAAUGAGAAAUAGAUACUUAAGGUUGCUGCCAUCCUCAGGACUCUUGCUGCUGUUUUUGCCAUUGGGAUUUGCAGCCCUGGAAACAAGAUAUAUCAAAGAGUGUGGACCAUCCUGGAAUGUGUCCUCUGAAAUACAUAUAGACUGCCAGGACUUUAACGAG
RNAcentral lists this long non-coding RNA (306 nucleotides) under Sus scrofa (pig). RNAcentral describes it as "lncRNA (ENSSSCG00050029982.1)". The record is from RNAcentral. Lineage: Eukaryota; Metazoa; Chordata; Mammalia; Artiodactyla; Suidae.